This 440-nucleotide ribosomal RNA is filed under the name uncultured bacterium. RNAcentral describes it as "bacterial SSU rRNA". It matches the Rfam family "Bacterial small subunit ribosomal RNA", at positions 8 to 450 of the family's 1533-position model. The record is from RNAcentral.
AGAGUUUGAUCCUGGCUCAGAUUGAACGCUGGCGGCAUGCUUUACACAUGCAAGUCGAACGGCAGCACGGGGGCAACCCUGGUGGCGAGUGGCGAACGGGUGAGUAAUAUAUCGGAACAUAUCCGGAAGUGGGGGAUAACGUACCGAAAGGUACGCUAAUACCGCAUAUGCCCUGAGGGGGAAAGGGGGGGAUCGCAAGACCUCUCGCUUUCGGAGUGGCCGAUAUCGGAUUAGCUAGUUGGUGAGGUAAAGGCUCACCAAGGCGACGAUCCGUAGCUGGUCUGAGAGGACGACCAGCCACACUGGAACUGAGACACGGUCCAGACUCCUACGGGAGGCAGCAGUGGGGAAUUUUGGACAAUGGGCGAAAGCCUGAUCCAGCCAUGCCGCGUGAGUGAAGAAGGCCUUCGGGUUGUAAAGCUCUUUCAGCCGGAAAGAAA